UUGGAGGGCAAGUCUGGUGCCAGCAGCCGCGGUAAUUCCAGCUCCAAUAGCGUAUAUUAAGGUUGUUGCAGUUAAAAAGCUCGCAGUUGAAUUUCGGGGUUAGCAGGUUGGUCGUGCCAAUGGUAUGUACUGGCCUUGCUGAUUCCUCCCUCUUGAUGAGCCGUAAUGCCAUUAAUUUGGUGUUGCGAGGAAUCAGGACUGUUACUUUGAAAAAAUUAGAGUGUUUAAAGCAGGC
Molecule: ribosomal RNA, 235 nt
Filed under: uncultured fungus
Lineage: Eukaryota; Fungi
Description: partial 18S ribosomal RNA
Rfam family: Eukaryotic small subunit ribosomal RNA
Source: RNAcentral